This 160-nucleotide ribosomal RNA is filed under the name Rhododendron albiflorum. RNAcentral describes it as "5.8S ribosomal RNA". The stretch from base 28 to 157 matches the Rfam family "5.8S ribosomal RNA", at positions 27 to 154 of the family's 154-position model. Rfam says of the family: 5.8S ribosomal RNA (5.8S rRNA) is a component of the large subunit of the eukaryotic ribosome. The record is from RNAcentral. Lineage: Eukaryota; Viridiplantae; Streptophyta; Magnoliopsida; Ericales; Ericaceae.
CCUCAACGAAUCUCGCACGAACUCUGCCUUGAAUCGAUGAAGAACGUAGCGAAAUGCGAUACUUGGUGUGAAUGCAGAAUCCCGUGAACCAUGCAGUCUUUGAACGCAAGUUGCGCCUGAAGCCAUUAGGUGUGAAGGCACGUCUGCCUGGGCGUCACGC